GUUCAAUUCAAAUGCAUUGCACAUAAAAGCAGACCUAAAAAAAAAAAUAAAGAAACAAUUGCUAAAAAUCAAAUGAAUUCAACUUCAUAGUGAAAUACAACUUAAGUGGACUUGGGAAGUGAUUCUUUCUCGCACCACUAGAGGGCGACAAGAGAGCGACAAGAGGAAAAGGUCCAUCGAUUAACAGCUUGAACUCUCACCUGCCUAUCACAGCAAACGUUACUCACAUUCAGAGACCGCACUUCAAUCGAAACCAUUCACUGUAUUCUGUGAAUACCUCGCCAAACAUAUUGUUGUUUUACUGUAAAUGCUGGAUAGAUAGAUAGAUAGAUAGAUAGAUAGAUAGAUAGAUAGAUAGAUAGAUAGAUAGAUAGAUAGCGUAGCAGACCAACACAUACUCAGCGAACCUGAACUACAGAAGUGACACUGUGUAACUUGGAGUGAGUAAAAAGCUGUGAAUUGCGCAAAUUUUACAUUCAUGACACCCACAUGGCUUCAUGGCACUUGUUCUUGACCAUUGUUUUAUUUGUUGUGUUUUCUAUCACAUGCAAUAAGACACAAAUGAAAAAAGAAAAAAAAAAAAAAACGACUCCACCAUAUGUGUAUUUUUUAUCUGAGGGAUGUCUCCAAAUGAGAAAAGAAUUUGUAUUUUCUGUUCUAAUGUCAAGUUCAAUAGUGUGCUCAAUAGAUGUACAAACUGUCUGGCUAAUUCUGUUCUGUAUAGUUGUGAUCACAACAGGGGUUUAUCUUGUACUGUAUAUCUUACUCACUGGACAAUCAUAUGUUUUAAGAGACUGAAAAGAAAAUUCUAUAGAGAAAUCAGAACACUUGUGGUGCUGGGUCCUAGUCAAGUUGCUUGAGCUGCAAAAGU
Molecule: long non-coding RNA, 871 nt
Organism: Hippocampus comes (tiger tail seahorse)
Lineage: Eukaryota; Metazoa; Chordata; Actinopteri; Syngnathiformes; Syngnathidae
Exons: 3
Source: RefSeq, a predicted model, not a curated record